This is a non-coding RNA of Acanthosepion pharaonis, 102 nucleotides long. The record is from the annotation of a GenBank genome assembly. NCBI's taxonomy places the organism in Eukaryota, Metazoa, Mollusca, Cephalopoda, Sepiida, Sepiidae.
CACAUUGAAAUACCGGUUCCCGUACGAUCACCGAAGUUAAGCAACGUCAAACCUGGUUAGUACCUAGAUGGGUGACCACUUAGCAAUACCAGAUACUGUAAG